UACGAAGGGGGCUAGCGUUGCUCGGAAUCACUGGGCGUAAAGCGCACGUAGGCGGAUCCUUAAGUCGGGGGUGAAAUCCUGGAGCUCAACUCCAGAACUGCCUUUGAUACUGAAGAUCUUGAGUUCGGGAGAGGUGAGUGGAACUGCGAGUGUAGAGGUGAAAUCCGUAGAUAUUCGCAAGAACACCAGUGGCGAGGGCGGCUCACUGGCCCGAUACUGACGCUGAGGUGCGAAAGCGUGGGGAGCAAACAGG
This 253-nucleotide ribosomal RNA is filed under the name uncultured bacterium. Its description in RNAcentral is "partial 16S ribosomal RNA". It matches the Rfam family "Bacterial small subunit ribosomal RNA", at positions 524 to 776 of the family's 1533-position model. The record is from RNAcentral.